GGGCCUGUAGCUUAGCCAGGUAGAGCGACGGACUUUUAAUCCGUUGGCCGGGGGUUCNAAUCCCCUCAGGCCCG
This 74-nucleotide transfer RNA is filed under the name Methanobacteriota archaeon. RNAcentral's name for it is "Euryarchaeota archaeon tRNA-Lys". It matches the Rfam family "tRNA". From Rfam's summary of the family: Transfer RNA (tRNA) molecules are approximately 80 nucleotides in length. Their secondary structure includes four short double-helical elements and three loops (D, anti-codon, and T loops). The record is from RNAcentral. Lineage: Archaea; Methanobacteriati; Methanobacteriota.